This 253-nucleotide ribosomal RNA is filed under the name uncultured bacterium. RNAcentral describes it as "partial 16S ribosomal RNA". It matches the Rfam family "Bacterial small subunit ribosomal RNA", at positions 524 to 776 of the family's 1533-position model. The record is from RNAcentral.
UACGGGGGGGGCAAGCGUUGUUCGGAAUUACUGGGCGUAAAGGGCUUGUAGGUGGCCAACUAAGUCAGACGUGAAAUCCCUCGGCUUAACCGGGGAACUGCGUCUGAUACUGGAUGGCUUGAGUGUGGGAGAGGGAUGCGGAAUUCCAGGUGUAGCGGUGAAAUGCGUAGAUAUCUGGAGGAACACCGGUGGCGAAGGCGGCAUCCUGGACCAUUACUGACACUGAGAAGCGAAAGCCAGGGGAGCAAACGGG